Molecule: long non-coding RNA, 640 nt
Organism: Scylla paramamosain (green mud crab)
Lineage: Eukaryota; Metazoa; Arthropoda; Malacostraca; Decapoda; Portunidae
Exons: 2
Source: RefSeq, a predicted model, not a curated record
AUCAGAGACGAAACCGCAGCACCAACUCUUCCUGGUUCAAAAUGCCUCCCUUUCCGAGCCGAUGACGGGCCUCCACGAACACCCUUAGUGCAGUUCUUCUCGCGUAAGAACGUGGAAAGGGAUCUCGUUUCGGUCUGGUAAUGUACUACGGCGUCGAGGAACUGUGAGAGUAUGUAAACCAGGCUAAGAAGCAUGAUGAGAAGAGGAACCUGAACACCUGAGGGAGCUAGAAUUGCACAGGAGUGGUGGAAUGUGAAAGCAUCCAUAAUGGAUUUUGCACAUAUGGCAAAUGAGUUCUGCAGAAUAAGGCUUCUGUACUUGUCUUGUUUCUCCUACCUUCAAAAAUGUUUCAGACUUAAUGUUAGCCUGUUAAUGAUGCAGGUACAUGAGCAACAGUGUUUAUUAAGUCCACGGGACUGCCACUCGAUGAUUAUUAUUGGAUUUUUUAUUAUUUUUUUUUUUAAUUAAAUGAAUUUCUAGAAGUAUGUAUUCUCUUUCUCCUCAGACUGUUUUGAGUAUCGGUUAUGUAUACUUAUGUAUACUUUCUCUGGAGACUCUUUUGAGUAUUGGUUAAUCACUUUAAUGUACACAAAAAAUUCAAAGUACGCAAAUAAAAUUAAAGGCUUAAUUGCAUCCUUUA